RNAcentral lists this ribosomal RNA (405 nucleotides) under uncultured bacterium. RNAcentral's name for it is "partial 16S ribosomal RNA". It matches the Rfam family "Bacterial small subunit ribosomal RNA", at positions 30 to 526 of the family's 1533-position model. The record is from RNAcentral.
AUCGAACGCUGGCGGCAGGCUUAACACAUGCAAGUCGAACGAGUGGCGGACGGGCGAGUAAUGCUUGGGAAUCUAGCUUAUGGAGGGGGAUAACUACGGGAAACUGUAGCUAAUACCGCGUACCAUAGGAUGAGCCUAAGUGGGAUUAGGUAGUUGGUGAGGUAAAGGCUCACCAAGCCGCCGAUCUCUAGCUGGUCGGAGAGGAUGACCAGCCACACUGGAGCUGGAACGCGGCCCAGAGUCCUGCGGGAGGCAGCAAUGGAGAAUAUUACGCAAGGGGGGCAACCUUGCACAGCCAUGCCGCGUGAAUGAAGAAGGCCUUCGGUUUGUAAAGUUCUUUCGGUAGCGAGGCGUUAACUACAGAAGAAGCACCGGCUAACUCCGUGCCAGCAGCCGCGGUAAUUC